RNA transcript from Nymphaea colorata (pocket water lily), 1406 nucleotides. RefSeq lists it as uncharacterized. The transcript has 9 exons. NCBI's taxonomy places the organism in Eukaryota, Viridiplantae, Streptophyta, Magnoliopsida, Nymphaeales, Nymphaeaceae. The record is from RefSeq and is a predicted model, not a curated record.
CGGGCUGGUCCCUCCGCCGAGAGAGGGAGGGCUUCCCUACCAAGUAGCUGGAUCCCGGUCCAGACAUAUGGGGCGCCGGAACUGGACCUGCCUCGAUGCCCCCGAAGGCCUGAACUCCAGAGCCUUAAGCCCCCACCGAAGUCACGGAGGAGCCCCUCCGCCCUGAGCCCCGUAGCUGACUGCCGAAGCUGCUUCUGCAUUUGCCGUCGGCGGCCUGCAUCUCUGCGUGACUCUCCGGUUAGCCGCGUUCAGUUGUUGACUGUUCACUCUUCACGAGGCGGAACGAAGUGGACAACACCCAACAAGUGGUUCCCUUGGCUCACUUCCGUUUCUGUUCAAGCUCCACCCGGCGUCGCAUCUUUUUUCCUUGCUGGUCGCUUUGAGAUGGCAGCCAAAGCAGCAUUUACAAAUGAAGCUAUUGCUCUCACUGAGAAGAAGAUAGAUAUGACUCUUGAUGACAUCGUUAAGAUGUCCAAAAAACCUGCUUCAAAGGGAAAGAACACAAGGAUAGUGAAUAAGAAUGGAGGUUUAAUCAACAAAGGCACUUCCCAAACACGUGCUUCACAAUUAAAACAGUUUUCAGAUUCAAGGGCAACCCUUCGGCAGGGAGUUCUUGCUCAAAGGAGAUCCAAUUUUAAAGCCAACUCUCAGUUCCCCUUUGCAGUAGAGGCGGUUAGGAAAGUUGCAAAUGAACCAGUCCGGAUGAGGGUGUCCAACUGGCACAAGACAAGACCUAUACCAGUUGCCCAGAGGAAGGUUGGACAAGUCUUUUCCUCUUAUCCUGCCAAGGUGGUGCAGCAAUCGAACAUUCCAAAGGGGAGGCCUCAGACUCUGGACUCGUUGUUCGCAAACUUGAAGGAGCAAAGGCUAAUAAAAGCUAGGGGGAUGGCUCUGAAUGGCCAAGCAGGCCGAAGACGUGCCCGUGUUCCUCCGAACAGCUAUCUUGCCAACAACCGUGGGAGGCCAAGGCAGUGAGGGCCCUUGGAUUGACGGGUUGUCAGGUGGAAUUUGAGCAAUUAUGACGGAUUUUCAUGCAUGUCAACAGGCUGAGAAGAAUAAAAGGGCUUCUCAUUGUAUGAUACAAAAGGUGGUCCGUCUCAAAAAGCUUCUACUGUGUGAACAUGUACACCAAGAGACAAAGAGACUAUUGGUUCAUUUUGAGCUAUUCUCCCUUGCAGAUAUGCAUUAGUUGUUGGUACUGCAGUUGAAGUAAGAUCGAGGAACCUUUCUUCCUAGAUGAACUUUUCUAGAAACACAACUUGAUAUUGCGACAAUGAAUGAUUGUGACAUUCAGUUGAGAAUAUUAUUGCAAGCUGACAAAAGAGAUCGAUGCGGAGGAAGGCAUGGCAGCGUCCAUAAGCCUCCAAAAACAAUCAGAUUCCUCAACAUUAUGAUUCUAAUGACCA